UACGUAGGUGGCAAGCGUUAUCCGGAUUUACUGGGCGUAAAGGGUGUGCAGGCGGGAUGACAAGUGGGGUUUGAAAUCUCCCAGCUUAACUGGGAUAGGUUAUGCCAGACUGUCAUUCUAGAGUGCGAGAGAGGGGCGUGGAAUUCCGGGUGUAGUGGUGAAAUGCGUAGAGAUCCGGAGGAACCCCAGAGGCGAAGGCGGCGCCCUGGCUCGCAACUGACGCUCAGACACGACAGCAUGGGGAGCGAACGGG
RNAcentral lists this ribosomal RNA (253 nucleotides) under uncultured bacterium. RNAcentral's name for it is "partial 16S ribosomal RNA". It matches the Rfam family "Bacterial small subunit ribosomal RNA", at positions 524 to 776 of the family's 1533-position model. The record is from RNAcentral.